AAUUUCUCAGAUAAGCAAUAUGGUUACAACUAUUUCUGUCAUUAAUUUGGAACACCAUGUGUUAGAGCCCGUAACAAAAUAAAAACUUCAUUCAGAAUACUUGGUAAUUUUUGGUAUGUCGCAUGAACAUUUAUAAAACGAAUAUCAUCUGCACAAUUUUUCAUUAAAACCAGUUAUUUAACCUUUGCUAGCUGUUUUUAGUACAUCUUUAGUAUAGAAUCUAAGGAAUUUUUCUCACAUAGGUGAAUGAAACCUCCAGAGAGCCUUAAAGAGCAUUACCAGCUUUAUUCUACAGAAAUCAAGAAGCAGAAAUGUUGCAUUUUGCUCCAGACCAUGGACAGGACUCACAGCUAAAGCUGAGGAGGAAGAACCAAAAAGAUGAGAAGCCUCUGCGUUCUUAGAGUCCUGUCACGCAGCCCUUCGGAGCAACACUGCUUCUUCCAGACAACAGGCAAGGAGACACUCCCCAGCUUUCUUCCAGCUAUCCAAGUUCCUAGAAAAAAGAUUGGAACAAUAAUGUGAGGCAUGGGAGACUGAUACUCACGUGCAUACAAUGCUUAGGCUGGCUUUGGAUCCCACCUCCACAUCCUGGUGCUACUGACUCAUCCUCCAGUUCAGGUAAGAGUAAUCAAAUAUCUCUUGCUCUUAUCCCAUUCUUAAAACUGUCUCUAGUGAUGAUGUGAAUUACUCACACUUUUCUUACAUUCCCAUUAGAAAAGGACCUCCACUGUCCAAAGGAAUUGCUGAUACAGAAUGUACUGAUGCCUGUGAGAGUCUUUCUCCUGGCUUCAGAAGACUUUAGAUCAGCCCUUAGGAAGCCAUUAGGAAUGGAGAAUAAAGACCUAGUGUUUGCUACA
RNAcentral lists this long non-coding RNA (857 nucleotides) under Anas platyrhynchos platyrhynchos (common mallard). RNAcentral's name for it is "lncRNA (ENSAPLG00000019857.1)". Lineage: Eukaryota; Metazoa; Chordata; Aves; Anseriformes; Anatidae. The record is from RNAcentral.